Molecule: ribosomal RNA, 430 nt
Filed under: uncultured archaeon
Lineage: Archaea
Description: bacterial SSU rRNA
Rfam family: Archaeal small subunit ribosomal RNA
Source: RNAcentral
AACCAGCUCUUCAAGUGGUCGGGAUGAUUAUUGGGCUUAAAGUGUCCGUAGCCGGUUUAGUAAGUUCCUGGUAAAAUCAGGUAGCUUAACUAUCUGUAUGCUAGGAAUACUACUAUACUAGAGGGCGGGAGAGGUCUGAGGUACUAUAGGGGUAGGGGUGAAAUCUUAUAAUCCUUGUAGGACCACCAGUGGCGAAGGCGUCAGACUGGAACGUGCCUGGCGGUGAGGGACGAAAGCCAGGGGAGCGAACCGGAUUAGAUACCCGGGUAGUCCAGGCCGUAAACGAUGCAUACUAGGUGAUGGCCCGGCCAUGAGCCGUGUCAGUGCCGUAGGGAAACCGUUAAGUGUGCCGCCUGGGAAGUACGGUCGCAAGGCUAAAAACUUAAAGGAAUUGGCGGGGGAGCACCACAAGGGGUGAAGCCUGCGGUUC